UGAGCUCGAUGAGUAGGGCGGGACACGUGGUAUCCUGUCUGAAUAUGGGGGGACCAUCCUCCAAGGCUAAAUACUCCUGACUGACCGAUAGUGAACCAGUACCGUGAGGGAAAGGCGAAAAGAACCCCGGCGAGGGGAGUGAAAAAGAACCUGAAACCGUGUACGUACAAGCAGUGGGAGCCCCACCACUAAGCCAGUGGUGAACUCCACAUACGCAUCCUUUGCUGAGGAUACGGUUAACGGAGCGAAAGCGACGUUCAACCGCAAAAGAAGCAGAGGGGGCUUAGUGGUGGGGUGACUGCGUACCUUUUGUAUAAUGGGUCAGCGACUUAUAUUCUGUAGCAAGGUUAACCGAAUAGGGGAGCCGGAGGGAAACCGAGUCUUAAUUGGGCGUUAAGUUGCAGGGUAUAGACCCGAAACCCGGUGAUCUAGCCAUGGGCAGGUUGAAGGUUGGGUAACACUAACUGGAGGACCGAACCGACUAAUGUUGAAAAAUUAGCGGAUGACCUGUGGCUGGGGGUGAAAGGCCAAUCAAACCGGGAGAUAGCUGGUUCUCCCCGAAAGCUAUUUAGGUAGCGCCUCGUGAAUUCAUCUCCGGGGGUAGAGCACUGUUUCGGCUAGGGGGCCAUCCCGGCUUACCAACCCGAUGCAAACUGCGAAUACCGGAGAAUGUUAUCACGGGAGACACACGGCGGGUGCUAACGUCCGUCGUGAAGAGGGAAACAACCCAGACCGCCAGCUAAGGUCCCAAAGUCAUGGUUAAGUGGGAAACGAUGUGGGAAGGCCCAGACAGCCAGGAUGUUGGCUUAGAAGCAGCCAUCAUUUAAAGAAAGCGUAAUAGCUCACUGGUCGAGUCGGCCUGCGCG
RNAcentral lists this ribosomal RNA (866 nucleotides) under Salmonella enterica subsp. enterica serovar Typhimurium. RNAcentral's name for it is "partial 23S ribosomal RNA". It matches the Rfam family "Bacterial large subunit ribosomal RNA", at positions 400 to 1165 of the family's 2925-position model. The record is from RNAcentral. Lineage: Bacteria; Pseudomonadati; Pseudomonadota; Gammaproteobacteria; Enterobacterales; Enterobacteriaceae.